This 950-nucleotide non-coding RNA is filed under the name Osteomugil perusii (longfinned mullet). Its description in RNAcentral is "Moolgarda perusii (longfinned mullet) 12S ribosomal RNA". It matches the Rfam family "Bacterial small subunit ribosomal RNA". The record is from RNAcentral. Lineage: Eukaryota; Metazoa; Chordata; Actinopteri; Mugiliformes; Mugilidae.
CAAAGGUUUGGUCCUAGCCUUUCUAUCAGCCCUAGCUAAAAUUAUACAUGCAAGUAUCCGCACCCCUGUGAGAAUGCCCUACAGUUUCCCACCCGGAAACAAGGAACUGGUAUCAGGCACACCCAUGUAUCGCCCACGACACCUUGCUCUGCCACACCCUCAAGGGAAACCAGCAGUAAUAAACAUUAAGCUAUGAGUGAAAACUUGACUUAGUUACAGCUACUAGGGCCGGUUAAAUUCGUGCCAGCCACCGCGGUUAUACGAAAGGCCCAAGUUGAUAGUUCUCGGCGUAAAGGGUGGUUAAGUUAAUCUAACUAUACUAAAGCCGAAUACCUCCAAAACUGUAAUACGUUCUCGGAGAGACGAAGCCCAACUACGAAAGUGGCUUUAAAAACCUGACCCCACGAAAGCUGAGAAACAAACUGGGAUUAGAUACCCCAUUAUGCUCAGCCCUAAAAUUUGACAUUCUUUCCUACACAUCAUCUCGCCUGGGUACUACAAGCACUAGCUUAAAACCCAAAGGACUUGGCGGCGCUUAAAAUCCAUCUAGAGGAGCCUGUUCUUGAACCGAUACCCCCCGUUUUACCUUACCCUCUCUAGCCCAAACCGCCUAUAUACCGCCGUCGUCAGCUCACCCUGUGAGGGAUCAACAGUAAGCAAAAUUAGCAUGGCCCAAAACGUCAGGUCGAGGUGUAGCGUAUGAGAGGGCUAGAAAUGGGCUACAUUCCCUCUAUAGGGAACUACGAAUUAUAAAUUGAAACAUUUAUCAUGAAGGAGGAUUUAGCAGUAAAUUAAAAAAGAGUAUUUAAUUGAAACAGGCACUAAAGCAUGCACACACCGCCCGUCACUCUCCCCUAAAAACAAAUUCCUUAUUUAUUUAAUAACAUUUAAAAAAUAAGGGGAGGCAAGUCGUAACAUGGUAAGUGUACCGGAAGGUGCACUUGGCUUAG